UACGAAGGGGGCUAGCGUUGUUCGGAUUUACUGGGCGUAAAGGGCGCGUAGGCGGUCAGCACAAGUCAGUUGUGAAAUCUCCGGGCUUAACCCGGAAAGGUCAACUGAUACUGUGCGACUAGAGUGCGGAAGGGGCAACUGGAAUUCUCGGUGUAGCGGUGAAAUGCGUAGAUAUCGAGAGGAACACCUGCGGCGAAGGCGGGUUGCUGGGCCGACACUGACGCUGAUGCGCGAAAGCCAGGGGAGCGAACGGG
This 254-nucleotide ribosomal RNA is filed under the name uncultured bacterium. RNAcentral's name for it is "partial 16S ribosomal RNA". It matches the Rfam family "Bacterial small subunit ribosomal RNA", at positions 524 to 776 of the family's 1533-position model. The record is from RNAcentral.